Molecule: ribosomal RNA, 405 nt
Filed under: uncultured prokaryote
Description: bacterial SSU rRNA
Rfam family: Bacterial small subunit ribosomal RNA
Source: RNAcentral
UGGGGGAUAUUGCACAAUGGGCGAAAGCCUGAUGCAGCAACGCCGCGUGAGGGAAGACGGUUUUCGGAUUGUAAACCUCUGUCUUUGGUGACGAAACAAAUGACGGUAGCCAAGGCGGAAGCCACGGCUCACUACGUGCCAGCAGCCGCGGUAAUACGUAGGUGGCGAGCGUUGUCCGGAAUUACUGGGUGUAAAGGGAGCGCAGGCGGGGAGACAAGUCAGCUGUGAAAACGAUCGGCUUAACGGAUAGAGUGCAGUUGAAACUGUUUGUCUUGAGUGGAGCAGAGGCAGGCGGAAUUCCGAGUGUAGCGGUGAAAUGCGUAGAUAUGCGGAGGAACACCAGUGGCGAAGGCGGCCUGCUGGGCUUUAACUGACGCUGAGGCUCGAAAGUGUGGGGAGCAAACA